This is a long non-coding RNA of Oncorhynchus tshawytscha (Chinook salmon), 1774 nucleotides long. RefSeq lists it as uncharacterized. The transcript has 3 exons. The record is from RefSeq and is a predicted model, not a curated record. Lineage: Eukaryota; Metazoa; Chordata; Actinopteri; Salmoniformes; Salmonidae.
GGUCAGGGUUCAAAUUACACACUCUUGGGGGCUGCCCAACAUUUUUAUUUCUAUUUUUUUUAAAGUCUGAUGUUUUUAGGCGGUAAGUCUCAAGACCUCGGCAGCGUAUUGUCAUCGGAGAAUCGGGGCGUUUCUGUUGUGGAGUAUGUAUCAGGAGAAUAAAUACAUAGAUCUACACCAGAGCUGAAGAACAAGCUCCAAGGGAGAGAGACUCCCUUUUUCUGCCUUUGCUGAAAACAGAGAGACCUUUGUCUUAGAUUUGUUACGCAAGUCAUGUUGUAAUCUGAGCCUACUGGAGUAAAUAUAGACACUGCCAAGGAAGAAAGGGCUCUUUUAGUGAUCAGAAUAUUUUAUUACUGAACUUCUAGAACAUUUCACUUCAAAGGAAGGGGAGUUGCCAUGUACUGAGACAGUUGUGUAACUUUCCAACCCCAACUAAAUGUUUUGGGCUACUUUUUGUGCAACCCUCCUCUUCCGCAAUCUCUCCUUGUAUUGGCUGGGCAGUGGCCAAUGAUGUAUGACCUGUGUGUCUAGGUAGGUAGUGCCCAAUGAUGUAUGACCUGUGUGUCUAGGUAGGUAGUGCCCAAUGAUGUAUGACCUGUGUGUCUAGGUAGGUAGUGCCCAAUGAUGUAUGACCUGUGUGUCUAGGUAGGUAGUGCCCAAUGAUGUAUGACCUGUGUGUCUAGGUAGGUAGUGCCCAAUGAUGUAUGACCUGUGUGUCUAGGUAGGUAGUGCCCAAUGAUGUAUGACCUGUGUGUCUAGGUGGGUAGUGCCCAAUGAUGUAUGACCUGUGUGUCUAGGUAGGUAGUGCCCAAUGAUGUAUGACCUGUGUGUCUAGGUGGGCCGUGGCCAAUGAUGUGUGUCUAGGUAGGUAGUGCCCAAUGAUGUAUGACCUGUGUGUCUAGGUGGGUAGUGCCCAAUGAUGUAUGACCUGUGUGUCUAGGUGGGCAGUGCCCAAUGAUGUAUGACCUGUGUGUCUAGGUAGGUAGUGCCCAAUGAUGUAUGACCUGUGUGUCUAGGUGGGCCGUGCCCAAUGAUGUAUGACCUGUGUGUCUAGGUGGGUAGUGCCCAAUGAUGUAUGACCUGUGUGUCUAGGUGGGCCGUGCCCAAUGAUGUAUGACCUGUGUGUCUAGGUGGGCAGUGCCCAAUGAUGUAUGACCUGUGUGUCUAGGUGGGUAGUGCCCGAUGAUGUAUGACCUGUGUGUCUAGGUGGGUAGUGCCCGAUGAUGUAUGACCUGUGUGUCUAGGUAGGUAGUGCCCAAUGAUGUAUGACCUGUGUGUCUAGGUGGGUAGUGCCCAAUGAUGUAUGACCUGUGUGUCUAGGUGGGUAGUGCCCAGUGAUGUAUGACCUGUGUGUCUAGGUGGGCAGUGCCCAAUGAUGUAUGACCUGUGUGUCUAGGUGGGUAGUGCCCAGUGAUGUAUGACCUGUGUGUCUAGGUGGGCCGUGCCCAAUGAUGUAUGACCUGUGUGUCUAGGUGGGCCGUGCCCAAUGAUGUAUGACCUGUGUGUCUAGGUGGGUAGUGCCCAAUGAUGUAUGACCUGUGUGUCUAGGUAGGUAGUGCCCAAUGAUGUAUGACCUGUGUGUCUAGGUAGGUAGUGCCCAAUGAUGUAUGACCUGUGUGUCUAGGUGGGCCGUGCCCAAUGAUGUAUGACCUGUGUGUCUAGGUAGGCAGUGCCCAAUGAUGUAUGACCUGUGUGUCUAGGUAGGUAGUGCCCAAUGAUGUAUGACCUGUGUGUCUAGGCAGUGCCCAGUGAUGUAUGACCUGUGUGUCUA